Molecule: non-coding RNA, 13073 nt
Organism: Xyrichtys novacula (pearly razorfish)
Lineage: Eukaryota; Metazoa; Chordata; Actinopteri; Labriformes; Labridae
Source: the annotation of a GenBank genome assembly
GUUUGAGAACUGAAAGAGUCGGCUCUUCUUGGUGAGCUAAGCUGAAUAAUCCGGCUCACUAAAAAGAGCCGUAAUUCCCAUCACAAACAUGAACUACCAAGCACUUAAUUUACAGUACAGACAUCCAGAGAAUCCCAUCCACAUACAGAAGUUUUCAGUCGAGUACAACAUGUGAAAAGUUUGUCAAUUGAUGGUUUAACGGCGUCAAAUCACUGGAGGCGAGUUCGCAUCCGGUGGAGACACUUUUCUAUGAUCCUGAUAAAUCCAGGAGGUCAGGUUCUGUUUGCUCUGGCUGAUAAAUCAACCAAGUUUCCAUCCAGCGGUUGAUUUAAUAUCAGCAGCUUUAAGUUUAAGACCAAAUAUUUUCCAUUGCUGUCUACAAGGAUAUCGAUCAAUUUGAUGGAAGAGGUAGAAACCUUGAGCAGGACCAGACUGCAUCAGAUUUAGAGAGGAGACGGACAGAGACAACAACCACUCAGACUGACGCUCGUAGUUGAAAAGUUGAAACGUUUUCUGCGACUCGACAGAAAAACACGCUCGCUGGACUUUUUCAGAGAAGGGUUAAUGGGCCGCAUGUUAAAGCUCAUGGGAAACGCAUCGCCGACACGCCAGGAGGCUUUCCUCACAUUGAUGGAGAGGGGGAUGAGAAGAGGAGGAGUGGGGGGGUAGAGAGCAAGGUUCACCGGUUCCCAAACUCCUGCAGAGCUUCAGUAGCCUCCACUGCCCACCCUGAAACUCCUCUCACCCCUCCUGUCUCUCCUCUUUCUUCCCCUUCGCUGCCCUCCAGCUCCGCUCUCCUCUCCUUUUUUCUCCUCCUCUUUUGUCCGUCCUCCCCUUCACUAAACACUCUCACCUCCUGGCCUUUAACACCUCCUCCAGGCCUCUCUGUGUUGUGUUAUCAUCCUCUCCUCCCCCCCUCGUCUCUCUUUUCCGUUUCGCAGCUUUUGUCGUAACAUAUAAUCAAAAUAAUCCUCCGUACAUCCUCAUGUGCGUCCGCGGGGGGGCCCCGGGUUUUACUGUACACUGUGAAUUACAUUAGAUCUGAGAGCCUGCUUUCUGUCUCAGGGUCAAUAUUGACUUUGUGGAAAAGCAGCAAGGUGGGAGAGAGAGAGAGAGAGACAGAGAGAGAGGAGGAGAGUCUGUUUGGGUGCCCCUCGUCUGUACAUUAUUGAAACUGGCCUCCUCUCAAAAUCAACAAAAAUCCAAAUUUUCUUCCCUCUGAAGAUUUUCGCUCUUAUUUGUUUAUAUACAGAACAAAGAACAACUUGAAAACUGACCAAUCUAAAGAACGGCAGAUCAUCCGUAACAGAAAACACGAAGACUAAACAAAUUCGGAGCUCAAGGGCGUGUGUGUUCGGGUACGUAAUCCUGCAAAUAUUCCUGCUCAUCAAUCAUAAAGAUCCUUCACGUUAACUUAUCUUCAUCGUCUCUCCUCCGCGGCGCAGUAAUCCGCCUGUUUUCAGCGGUUUGUAGAAAGUUCUGGGUGAUAAAUAAGCUCAGAAAUAUGUGGCACUGAUUACACGCUGGUUUUUAUGGGCGAACAUAAAGUGGAAAGAAGACAGCGACGGAUGGACUGCACCUCGAAUUCUACUUUAAGGUGCAGGAGGAGGAGAAGCGAGGGCCUGAGAAAGAAAACUAAUCAAGCUGGGAAAUCUGUCUCUUGAGGCCCCACUGUGCACAAAUCACACGCAUCAAAACACACAUGCAGGCACGUGCACACAAACACACUGGGGGCCAUACGUUCCCCCGAUGUUGUCAGGCCCCGUCGUCUGUCUACAUCACGUACGAGUUUUGGCAUGCAGCCUUCCUCCGGGUGACAAAAAGCGCAGCCUUUUGUGUCGAGAACUAUUUCUCACAUCCCUACCUGGCCCCUGCAGGCCUGUUUAGAGGUGCAGGCAAGCAAAACCACACACACACACACACACACACACACACACACACACAGUUUCCUGAAAGUUUUUCUAAGAGCUGAACUUACACUUCCUCCUCACAUUGUGUGGGUUUGUUUUUUGCGCUGAGCUUCAUUUCUGUGUGAAGGUGUUAAAAUCUCCCUUUAGCAUGAACUCUAUACUGAACUGGUUUAAGUAACAUAAUGGGGACUUGUUUCCAGCACAGCGGGGGGUCCCGAGAUGUGGGCCGCACAUGUCUACUGAGUCAACAUGAAAUCGAACGAGCUUCAAACUCAAAAAACAGUCUGAUCUGGAGAGAUGAUCGAUGUUUUCUGAUACAUCAUUAUGACAUUUGUCUGUUUCUUUACAUGCACGGUGAAGUCCACUGUGUUCGCCAAGACUAGGGUGACCAUACGUCCUCUUUUUUGGGGCCUGUCCAGGAGUUUAUAAAAUCCUUCAGAUGUCUGGAGUUUGUGUAGUGUGGGCUAACCCCCAAUUUCCACUGCAUCCAGAACAGCUACGAAAGUCUGUAUCCGCAUUGAUCGCAGCUGAUCGUAACCAAUCAAGUUAACGUGUCAAUUUCCUCCGGCUUCUUUCCGUUCCUCUGCGGAUCGCCGGACUCCUCAGCUGAUCUCAAGAGUUCUAUUUUUUCCGGACGCCGGAGCAUGGUGGAUAAAUUCAGCACAGAUUAACCCGUGCUGGAAAGGAAGUUGGGCACAGACACAAAAUAAAACAUCUGACUUCUUUUCAAAGUGGAGACAAACAAGUGAAAGGUUUUUAGACGUCAUUUCACCCCGAUGACACCAUGGAUGAGGAGAUGCUGAUUCUAGAAGUCUAGAAGUAGAUUUCCUCCUCUGGAAGGACACAAUCUACUGCUCACAUGGUUAGUCUAUGUGGCUAAAGACAACUUGUUAUUGCACGAUUGCACGUGAAUUGUGUUCUUGUGAGUUCUUGAGAUUCCUGCUGUCCGUUAUCCAACAUGAAAUUUGCCUCACAAACAGAUCCGGUAGGAAUCGGCAUAUGUUCCGGAUGCGUUGGAAAUCCCAGGUAACUGAGUUAGAGGUGCAUAAACACACUCGACCCGACCUAAAAAACCAUAAAAAAUUUUGCACUGGAGGUUUGCGCACCCCAUGUAUGGGGACCACGGUCAUCAUAGUGGACACGGGUUCAAGUCCGGCCCGGACCAUAUGUUGCACCCCCUCCCACCACCACCACCCCAUGUCCCCACAUUUCACCCUGUACUAUCAAUAAAAGGCAAGUCCCCAAAAAAGUACAGAAAAUAAAAAAUUGCUGUUAUUGGGACGUCUCAUGUAGCCAAUCAAAACUACGUCCUAAGAUGAAAACAUCGUCACUUUUACAGCUCUGUGACGUUUGUUUAGAAAGUUUCAUCUUUUUUUUUAAGUCUUUUCUUCAUCUGUGAACAGUUUAGUUUUCUUCAUCCACGCUUUUUAACUUCCACGGAGUACGAGCGCUGCAGCAUGUGCAGAAUACUCAGUCUGAUUUCAGCUCCGUUGAGUCGUCUGCAUGCAUGAGAUAAUUGAUCACACCUGGAUGAUCCAGGGAGGUUAGCUCGAUUAUCAAAAGUUCAUUUUAGAGUGAUGUCAGUUAUUUGUUUUAAACAUGCAAAAGCACUUAGAGGUUGUGCGUACUGUACGUUGUGUGUAAACGCGCCUCUCUUCACUCGUAUAUUCCUCUGCAGUAAACUCAGAAGUUCCUGCAAACUGUUAAUCCGAGUAUUAACUAUAAAACAACCGCCGCUGACUCAACCGCUGAGUCAGGAGUUGACUCACCACAUGACUCAGCGGUUAAGUCUCUCUAACAUUAGCGUCACGCUUACAGUUAUGAAAUCAGCUGUCUCACUUUUGGACGGACGAUUCUUAAAGUCUUGAGUUUGUCAAAGUCGUUUUUUUUACUUCCUGUAAAAUAUCUUCAUGUCAAACUCACAACUGGUCGUGUCCUUCAAGUAUCCAGACAGGAAGUGUUACUAAACAAGACGCCGCAUGAAGAUUUAUGCAGGUGAUCAACGAUUACGGCUUAAUAUUCAUCAAAACAGACGACAAAAAUAAUUUUAAAAAAUCCAGAAAUAAGUCAAAGUCAAAGGUACCACCGUCCACCAUCUUUGUUUUCCUCUUUGCUAACUGCUGCUAAUGCUGCUGUGGUUUGUCAUUAUAGUAAGAACAGGAUCUCCUCGUGGCGGCGCAGAUUUACUCAGUAUUCUUCAGGAAGCUGCGACCAAAAACCCGGCCCGGUAUUUCACACACACUCGCGUGGUAACACUCACAGGGGUCAAGAGGAGAGCAGCGUAAGUGGCGAGCGUGUAUCGCUGCAGAAGCCCGUGUUUUUCUAAGUGUGUGUGCGCGUGUGUGUGCUGUAGGUGGUAAAGUUAACAUCCUCGUGUGCUGGAGAGGAAAACAGGCAUCCAUCAAACCGCCUGCCACUCCGGUUGGAUUUGAUUACUUCCUAAACCGCCGAUGGUUUGCAGGAAUAUUUGAGGUCUGACGCCGAGGUGAUUGCUGUUUCCGCCUCGACUGUUUACCUGCCCAGGAGAUGUUUUCUCUCCCCAAACAGGAAGGCCCAAUCAUGGGAAUAAUUGGAGGAUUUUUAAACUGAAGUGGGCGGAAAUAAACGAGCCAGAGGAUGUUUGAAAAACGAGGGCGAGGACGUCAGCCGUCGAUGACGCCGCCGGGCUCUUAAUUAGAAAACAUGUCGGACUGGAAACGGUCUCCCAUCUUUGUCGGACUCUCUCUUUGUUCGUAAACGGGGACUGUUUUGGUUGAUGGUGUUCACUGAGCAGACCCCUUCCUCACUUCAGCAGAGGUCAUGCGCGGGUCAGCGUAGCGCGGGGUCAGAAAGUAGUCCGUCCUCCCGCUGUGUCCUCAGCCAUGUGUAGAAUGUGGGUCAUCUUCAAAGACGCUGGAGUCUUAGCCUUCGACAUGAAGCACCAGCAGCUUCCAUGCAAGGUUGAACCGCAGCUGCAGGUCAAGAAGCAACGUGGGAAUCUGCAGGUUUAUUAUAACCUCUGAAUUUAUUAAAACAAACACUAAUCUUCUCUUUGACCGUGAAUUCUGACUGUUUUUAUUCCUCUUUUCGGUCAUUUAGUCUAUUUGCAGCCUGGGAUCUCUGGGAUGUAUGAACGCACUUUAACGGGGCUGUAAAUAAAACUUUCAUUGCACUAAAACACAUGAUGGCUGUAUGUUGUAAAGCUGCAGGUGUCUGAGCUCAUAGUUUCAACUCUGAACUUUAUAUUUCCACACCAGCAGCAGCAGCAGCAGCGGCGUCGGAGGUGGCAGAGCUGCAAAAAUAUGCGACAUGUUUGGGUUUCAUCAAUCAGGCUGUUUUCUCCAAAGGUCAUUAAAACUCCUCCCAUUAUCUGUUUGGUAAAAAUUUAUCUUUAUUUUGACUUGAUGGUUCGUCUUAGUGAUAUAAUCCAUCGCUCAGUUGAAGGGGAAGUAAAUCUUUUAUUAGGAAAGGAUCUCAGGGUGUUCGUACAUUUUAGGGAAUAACAGUUUUUAAAUAAACAGUCAUGUGACAUGUAGGGUGUCACGGAAGAGGAUUAGGGCCGAAUGAAGAGAAAAAAAUAAUUACAGGAAGGAGAUUAAAGUCGAAACUUCGAGAUUAAAGUCGACAUGAAUAAAGUUUAAAUUUCAACUUUUUAAAAUUUCGACUUUAUUCUCGAAGUUUCGACCUUUAUCUCAAAAUUGAAAUUAAAUAAUCUCCUUCCUGUAGUUUUUUUUCUCUUCUUGUGGCCCUAAUCCUCUUUCGUAGAGUGUUAGCAUGUGUACAUAAAAAUAAAAGAUAUUUAUUCAUAAUCAUUGAAAAAAAGACAUUUUUGAGCUUCAGACUAAAGUUUGGAUAAAAAAAUAACGUGGCUUUCUGCUUGUUUUUAACUGAUUGUACUUUUGUGCAUGUUCUGCAUUUGAGUCCAAGUUUCCCCAAGAGGACGAUCAAGUCGAGCGCAUCAUUAGCUCGAUAUCUUUAACAUCUUUAAUGUGUCACAGUGUUGUUUUAAGGAUUUACUGAGAUUUUUAUUUAGCGUUGAAAAAGUGUCAAAUAAGUUGAUUGUUGCAGAAUUUUCCAAAGUCAUACAGUGAGUUUACAUUCACUUAAAAAUGGAUUUAUUGCAACUGAACCUGGACUUCUAAAAUGAACUUUUCAUAGUCAGACUAACAUACCUGGAUAAUGCAGUUGUGAAUCUAUUUUCUCUGUCAUGUAAACAGCCCAAUCAGACUGAAACAAGAGAAACCGUUGAUACUUCUGUCACAAGCCAGAGAAAAAGGAACCAAAACGCAGACUGGAGAAGUUUAAUGAACAAAAAAGCAAAGAAAAAACAAAAAAUUCUUCAAAAAGUUCAACAAAAACACUAGAGAAGACGUGGACAGCAACAACAAUGAACCUGGAAGACAGGGACAGACAAAACGCAGGUGAGACUCGUGAGUAAUCAACAAAAGAAGGAAACUAAGGAAGUCAAACGAAGGAUUGACUCCUACAAAAUAAAACAGGAAACACUGAAAACUGAACUGAUGAAACCAAAUGGUGAAAAACAAAAAAAACAACAUGAAACAGAAACACGAGGGAGAAUACACGAGAAAUAAAACUCAGCUGCUCUGAGACGGAAGUAGAGCUGCACGGACGACCAGCUAAGAAGGCAGGAAAUAAACGGAAAAACUUGAGAGCAGAAGAUGAAACUUUCGUGUAAAAACGACAUCGUGUUAGCCUCCUGCUCACAUGUAAAGCUACCUGUUUUGAAAUGUAACACGUCGACGAGCUGAAACGGGAACAUCGCCACCUACGAAAUCAUGAAAUUAGCUUCACGUUUCUUUUGUUGCUUCUUUUUUGUGCUACUAUUUUCACGACUACGCGGGGGUGGAGUCACGGAGUCGAGCGUAGUUAAUUUUGAGAGUUUUUUGGGUUGGAUCAAGUGUUUUUUACGCACUUCUAACUCAGGUAGUCCACAGUUUUCAUACAAACCCUGGACAUUUGAAGACAAAGCCGGACAGCCCCCAAAAAAGAGGACAUGUCCGGGUAAAAGAGGACAUAUGGUCACCCUACUUUAAGAGCUAAAAAACAGACUCAGUGUGCAAAGACCUUCAGUCUCCUGGUUCUCUGGGAUCUGGAUUCCUCUUCCUAAGAAGACUCUCCGGUCUCCAACCCUCAGACCUGCAGUUUCACGUUUAACCCCCUCCUCAUAUCUGACGCAGCUCAAACAGUGGCAUCACCGUGUCAGCGGGAUCCGCUCCAAACAGUCUCCGGGGCGCCGAGGCGAGCAAAGUGAUGAUCCGGCCUCCUGAGGUUUAUAGAGUGCACUGUGAUAUCGUUAAGUCUGAAAGUAGACCACACAGAGCAAGAAAGGGUGUCUGUGUCCUCAUUAAAGCUUCGCCUGGGCAAACCAGAGACGGCCAAUAUACACACCAGAUAAGACAGUUAGCAGCUUGUUCAGAUUUACAGCUGCUAGCCUUGGGGAGCGCGAGGACGAGGGGUGAGGGAGAACACGAGUUCAUAUGUGGUUUAAUGUCUGGCAGGCGGAUGAACAAACUGCAGACAAUUUAAGGAUAUCGAGAGACGAGGGUUGAUAGACGGCGGCGAUAUUACAAGCGGUGAUCGAGAGCGAAAGGCCAGAGGUGUCAGAGCGGACGUAAAUCAGAGCGUCUGAGAGGAAGUAAAAGGAGGGAAACGGGUCGUGUAAAAAAGGAGAUCCUAAAUCAGGGAAAUUUAAAGCUUCAUUGGAGGAGACGUCAAAUUAAUGUGUUGCUACUGCUGCAACAACAAAAAACCCACAUCCCACGCCAUCAAUCAGGGAAACACAUCGUCAGAGCGGCCCGACACCAGCCCGGAGGAAACCGCAGCUUUCUGAAAACGCCACAGCGCUGCAUCAUUAGCAACCCCAGCUUUACGCCAAAUGUCAGAGUUUCUUGUCAGCGCCAGAAAUCAGCCUCCUCAUAACCUCGACUUGAUCCCUCACCCCGCUCUCAUAAAUAACCCUCCCUCACGAACGAGGGGUCAACACGGUCCCCUCUCUUCUUCACGUCUCUUCCCCCUCUCUCUCUCUCUCUCUCUUUGAUUUACGCUCGCCGUAUAAAAAAACGCGGGCGUCCUGCUCUGGAAAAACACGGCGCCUUAAUUUCUUUGAGUAAAUUUUAAGUGGCGCGGGCUCGUUUGGCGUGUUCAGUGUCAGGUUUUGCAGACUCCCCAGAGCGCGGGCCCACCUAGUGUGACUCUGCACCUCGUAAAGAAAUCAAGCCGGCUUUAGGGAACGGCGAGUGUUGGGUUUCACUACCGCUAGAAGCAGCGCUAACAAAGACAGAACAAGGCCGUUUAGCCACCUGAAAGAGGAUCCACACCCACACGCUGAGACGCUCCUCCGCUCGCCCCCUCAUGCUCUGCAAAUCCGCGCGCCUUUACUUCUCCUCGCUCACUCUGAGGAUGUUUUGAAGCCCGAUAGAAAGCACACAUUGUCUUUCUUCUUGGCUCUCGAAUACGUCCACAAAUACACCCACGCUUUUGUUUACACGCACACACCGCUUUUCCCCGCAGGACUUCUCCACGCCAAGUUACUGACACACAUGAAAUAACCGCGAAUGUCACAAUCGUCGAGACGAACCACAUCCGUUCUUUUUCGCUUAUUUCAAACGUUUCCAAACCUUGACCUUUCCUUUCUUCUUCUGAGGCCGAAAACAAGACGAUAUUUCACCCCGUGUGUUCCGUCCUGGAGGCAUCAGAAGAGGCGUUCUGGUGAUCGAGUUUCUUUAGUUUCCUCUCUCAGCGGGCAUUCGCUCCAUCAAAGUGGCCUGAAGCGAUCCCUUCCAGCUCCGGCAGCACCUUCUCCUGUAGGUGAUCCUGACCCCUGACCCCGAGAAGUGCAAAACAUGUCAGCUUCGAGAUCGUCCCCCUUUUUUUUUUUCCCCCGACCGCCUCACAAGUCGGUCGUUAUAUAUAUCCAAAAAUGUGUGUCAAAGUUUCAUAACGAUGAACAAUCAGGGAGGAAUUGGUGUCCACAAGUCUAAUCCUGUCUAAUCCGUGAUGCAACGCAAAGGUAGCACACUCGAACCCUGUGAGCAUCCAGGGUUGCUGGUUCCCUCUCUUUCCGUCAUGCAUGCUUGCAUCCCUGUUGCUCAGCACCACGGAGGAUCUGCAGCCGAUACCUCCUCCUGGUCCCCCUACAGACGUCUCUCUCUGUGAUUCCUCUCUGCAGACACAGCAGACUCUCACUCCUUAUUUCCUGUCUCUGGUCCAGCCAACAUCCAAUCUUGAACCCCCGUCAGCAGACCAGCCGCCUACUGAUCUUGGUUUUCUCUUGGCAGCCCGGACGACGCUUGUCUCGGUCCACUGUCCUCGACGAUGCUCCUGCUGCACUCCCUGAACCUCACAUCGGCUUUUCCUGCCAAUGACGCUCUGUUCCCUGUCCAGGCCGAAGACGAGGCCCACCCUGGACUCUGAUCGGCAGCCUGGCUCACCUCUGUCCCCCAUGUCAUGACCAUGCUAAGAAGCAGAAAACAACUUUGGUCCAGAGUCUGGAUUCUGCAGAAACACCUCUGUCCAUGCCUCUGACUCUGGAAUAAUGGAGCUCUGUUCCCUCGUCUGUAAGUGAGCUGGUUAAUCUAAGAUCAUGUCUGUGUUUCCUCCAGAUCAAAGUCUAGUUUACAAUCUGAGACACAUGCAGGACUACAGUCGACAAUUCUGGGUCCAGUUUUUGUCAUUUUUCUAACAUUAUGUAAAGAGACCGAGUCCAGAUCCCAUCCAGACACCUGUUCCCCCUAAAGCUGCAGGUUUUUCUUGCUUCGCUGAUCCCCUCCCUCCUCCUGCCAAUGUCACAGAUGCCAGCCUCCCGGUCAGCCCUCUCAGAGCCGACCACCUGUUCAGCUUUUCUGGCACCGGUCUCCAUCUCUGCUCUCUGCGAGUCCAACCGUCCUGCUUUUACCUCAGGCUAUUCCAUCAGUUGCCAUGCCCCCCUUACCCUAACUAGUGCUAAAUAUCAGCGUCAACGAACUGUUAUCAUGUGAUGAAAACAUAAAUACAGGAAACAUAAAUGAUGGUCUUGUGAUGAUAAUAUAACUAAAUAUGUAAUGCAAUAUUGUUGAUGGAAAAAUACAAGACUAGAUGUGGAUCACUAAAUAAAAACUGCUGAAAUUUCUCUUAUUUUCCUUUAACUAAAACGAGAUGAAAUUGUUUAGUCCAUGUUGUUGUUUUCUGUUUCCUCGGCUGUGCGUGUCCCUGCUCAGAUGCAGGUGAGUCUAAAAAGACGUCUCAAGGUCGUCCAUGCUGAACUCAAGUAAAUUAAGACACUGACGUAACUUCACUUUAUAUUUUAUAUUUCACUGCAUCAGUCGCCAUGUCUCCCUAACCCUAACCCUGACCCUCACUUUAACCCUAAACUUGACCCUAUCCCCUAACCCUAACCCUAACACCUAACCCUAACCCCUAACCCUAUACUUCAGGCUGUUACAUCAGUCGCCAUGCCUCCGUAACCCUAACUCUAACUCUAACCCCUAACUCUAACUGUAACUCUAACCCUAUACCUAACACUUGCUCUAACCCUAACCCUAACCCAACUCUAAACCCUAACCCAACCCUAGUCCCUAACCCUAAACCCUAACUCUAACCCCUAACCCAACCCGAAACCCUAAACCCUAACCCAACUCUAACCCCUUACCCAAUCCUAGCCCCCUAACCCCAAACCCUAACCCCAAACCCAACCCUAGUCCCUAACCCUAAACCCUAACUCUAACCCCUAACCCAACCCUAACCCUAACCCCUAACCCAACCCUAACCCUAACCCCUAACCCCAAACCCUAUUUCUAACCCCUAACCCAACUCGAACCCCUAACCCAACCCUAACCCCUAACCCUAAACCCUAACCCCUAACCCAACCUUAACCCCUAACCCCAAACCCUAACCUCUAACCCAACCCUAACCCCUAACCCUAACUCCCUAACCCUAAAUUCUAACUCUAACCCCUAACUCUAAACCCUAACCCCUAACUCUAACCCUUUACCUCAGGCUGUUACAUCAGUCGCUAUGCCUCCCUAACUCUAACCCUAACCCCUAACCCCUAACCCUAACUCUAACCCUAACUCUCUCUAGGUUACUUUUGUUUCCUCUGACCAGGAUGCCUCGUCCCAUUUUCUCAUUUUUGAUUCAGAUGUUGCUGCAAACUUACGACCUGAUUUCAUAACUCUCUGACCCCGUCCAACAAACCGUCUGUGCGUUGUCUUUAUUACUCACUCGUCUCGGGGGAAAUCAGCAGAUUUUAGUAAAUGAAAUAAGUUUUUAAUCAGAUUACUUUUCACAUUAUUUCUAACUUUUCUUCAGGGAAAUAGUUUUGAUGUAUUUUCCUGUAUUUGUUACGUUUUCGUCUCCAGGUUUUUACAUAACUUCAGCUGCUGUUACUGUGAAGUGGAUCUCUGCUUCAUUGUCUUCUCAUCCCUGACCCACCCUUCUUUGGGGUUGGCCUCUUUGUUCCUCCGCCGCUGUGACAGGGUCAGACACGCUCAUGGAAAAGUCUGACUCGGGUUCAGAUAGAGUGACCUCGACAAACCCUUUUUUGGUGUAACUUUAAAUAUUGAGUUGAAAUUUAAUGAUGGGGCAUUUCGGUUUGCAUGAAGCAGACUGUGAGGGGGGAAAAAAAGCUGCUUUCCUAUUGGCUGAUUGAAAAGUGCAUGUAGCAACAAGGAAUGCUUUGGCAGUGUUUGGACUCAUGGAAGAUUCCCACUGACACGUGUCUAGACACUUACACAGUUGACACACUAUAACACAAGUCAAUUAUUCUCUCCGGUUUGGGAUCCUGAUCCUCGUUUCCGUUUAUCAUAACGGCUCCGGGCGAAUCGGACUUUCAUAUGUUACAUAAAAUAAUCUGUAUCAAAGCUGCAGGAAGGACUGAACAUCCUGCUCUACUUUAAGUCGACUUUUUAAUAAUAAAGCUCGUCCGUGUUUUUUUUUUUUUUUCUCUGGGGCGGACAUAUUUAUAUAAACUCGUGUCUCGUGUCGCUCUCUGAACAAACACGUAUUUGGCCGUUAGCAUGUGACUGGCAGACAAAUUGCAUGAUGACACGUUCAUUGAUAAUUGCAGGGUUUCUCCGCAGUCUCAGGGCUGAGCCUCUCGCUCUCUCACUCUCUCGCUCUCUCUCUCUCUCGAAUUAUUUAACAUGCUCAGAGUUUGAGUGUGUGUAAAGGUGGAUUCGAGGAAGUGUGUCACUCUCCAGAUCACACCGUCCCCAUUUUUGCCCUUCGGACCGUGGUUUUGGAUCAGUGCCCAUGUCUGCAUGUGUAUAUAGGUGUGCAUGUACAUGUGUGUGUCCUUACAGUGAAUGUGUGUGUGUAUUUUAAUCUCACACUCUUGUGCUCAGGAAUGCAGUGAAUGGAGGAGGAGGAGGAGGAAAAGGGGGGGUUGUACUUUCUACCUGCUUCUUUUACCUGUCGGUUAAUUUCCAUGCUUUUGAUUACAGUGUAAACAUGUUUUCUGCUUUCCACGGCGCAUUAACGCCACAUUAAUCUCACGAAAUAUAUUAACAAUCCGCAGAGUGCUUUAGGCGGGGCGUCCUAACACCGCAUGUUUACAGAAUCGAGAGGUUUAUGACGCAAUUGUGAACCGUGUUGCAUUUUAUGGGUUAGGCUCUUUUGAUGUUAAGGGAGUAAAUACUUGUGGAGUGAGUUCACCCAGGCCAUGCCUCACUUACACGAUUCCCCAUGUGUUACACGGUCCGGCUGAGCUGAGAUUCAUCUACAAUUGUAAUAAUGUGAAUAAAAAAGGGAAAAAAAGCGCAUAGCCAACACCGAACUUCAGAGGUGAAAGCAAGGUCAUCCACACGUGUCAAAUCAGCUCGGAGGAAACAUUAAUCAUGAGAGGAAGGGCAGAAGGAAGGGCAACACAUACAUAUACGAACAACAGAGCGACACGGUUAAAGAGAGCGCCAAUAACAUCAGGAGUUUCUUUUUUUUAGGGCAGCUGGGUGGUUACAAAAUGCAGGAUUUUUAUCCGUGUUAAUUCUGUGCAGCAGAAUGAAAGGAAACCUUAAAGGGAUGUUCCGGUGUAAAAGUAAUUUAGGAUCAAACACAUCAUAACACUGAGUAAGACACCCCCGUCGAGAGAUGAAUGUUGCCGACUGUUUGCUUCUCUAGUUAUACCAACUUUAGUAACGACCGCAGGAUAGCAAUACAGAGAGCCACGCGCUCAACCUAAACGCCACUCUA